Molecule: long non-coding RNA, 897 nt
Filed under: Brassica napus (rape)
Lineage: Eukaryota; Viridiplantae; Streptophyta; Magnoliopsida; Brassicales; Brassicaceae
Description: long non-coding RNA (BNAP_LNC024185)
Source: RNAcentral
GUUUUCAGGUGACCAGUAGUGAGCUUGUAGAAGGCGCGGGAGGCUAGGCUGGCAGGUGUAGAUUUGCAUCUUCUUGCUUAAGACGCUUUCAGACUAUAAGUAUGUACUUUCGCUUUCUUGGCAUGCCACCAGUUGUAUAAUAUUUUGUGUAUUGUAAACCAGAUAUUAUAUAAAAUAAAUAAAGCGAAUGUUUUAUGCAAAUGCCUUGUUGUUCUGAUAUUAGCUUGUCCAAGCUAACACAACGUCAGAUUAGAGUACGGGUUGAGAAGCCUUAGGCUUUUGUCUGACGGGAUGUGUUAGUGGGUGGCUGGCCUAGUUACGAAUUGCACCUUUUGUAACUUUGGCUGGAUUGCCCGUUAACCCAUCUUGUAGCACUCCUGAACCUUGGUAGACGGUCGGGCCGUCGGUCAUGUUCUUGUUUGAUUGUUGGCCGGUGGUUCGACAUAUGCCUAGAACGGUUUGGGGGUGUUACAAACGGGGUGUUAGGUUUUUUGGUGGUCGCGUUCGGACAAUUUGUUAGUAUUAUCGUCGAAUUUUAACUUUUGCGACGUCUCGCAGUUGUUUCGGGGAUUAUACGUGUAUCUUUGCGUGUUUGAAAGAUGAUAAUUUUACGAUUUUUGGACCGGAUGAGGCCGCAGAUAAGAGUCUUAAUGUUUCCAGGCGUGUCCUGAAAUUUUUUUGUGUUUAACUGAAGCGUAUAAAGGAGCAACGUAGAUUGUAGUAAAAGUUUUUGAAGUUUCUAAAAACUCGAUUACAAUAAUGAAGAUUUUUCUAAGUGGGAGUAUACGAGUAUAUGCACCCACUCCCCCCCCCCCCUUUUUAGAGAGGGGGAUAGCUGAACUUGUCUUUUGACGAGCUGCCUACAUACCCCUUUCGAGGAUCAAGCCAUCUCGUAGU